Molecule: ribosomal RNA, 798 nt
Filed under: uncultured Brevundimonas sp.
Lineage: Bacteria; Pseudomonadati; Pseudomonadota; Alphaproteobacteria; Caulobacterales; Caulobacteraceae
Description: bacterial SSU rRNA
Rfam family: Bacterial small subunit ribosomal RNA
Source: RNAcentral
CGAUGGGCCGACGUCGCAUGCUCCGGCCGCCAUGGUUAUCAGUAGCUGGUCUGAGAGGAUGACCAGCCUCACUGGGACUGAGACACGGCCCAGACUCCUACGGGAGGCAGCAGUGGGGAAUCUUGCGCAAUGGGCGAAAGCCUGACGCAGCUAUGCCGCGUGAAUGAUGAAGGUCUUAGGAUUGUAAAAUUCUUUCACCGGGGACGAUAAUGACGGUACCCGGAGAAGAAGCCCCGGCUAACUUCGUGCCAGCAGCCGCGGUAAUACGAAGGGGGCUAGCGUUGCUCGGAAUUACUGGGCGUAAAGGGCGCGUAGGCGGAUCGUUAAGUCAGAGGUGAAAUCCCAGGGCUCAACCCUGGAACUGCCUUUGAUACUGGCGAUCUUGAGUAUGAGAGAGGUAUGUGGAACUCCGAGUGUAGAGGUGAAAUUCGUAGAUAUUCGGAAGAACACCAGUGGCGAAGGCGACAUACUGGCUCAUUACUGGCGCUGAGGCGCGAAAGCGUGGGGAGCAAACAGGAUUAGGUACCCUGGUAGUCCACGCCGUAAACGAUGAUUGCUAGUUGUCGGGCUGCAUGCAGUUCGGUGACGCAGCUAACGCAUUUAAGCAAUCCGCCUGGGGGAGUACGGUCGCAAGGAUUUAAAACUCAAAGGAAUUGACGGGGGGCCCGCACAAGCGGUGGAGCAUGUGGGUUUAAUUCGAAGCAACGCCGCAGAGCCUUACAACCUUUUGGACAUGCCUGGGACCGCCCCGGGAGACGGGGCUUUCCCUUCGGAGGACUAAGGACACAGGGGGCUGGC